This 343-nucleotide unclassified non-coding RNA is filed under the name soil metagenome. Its description in RNAcentral is "partial contains 5.8S ribosomal RNA, internal transcribed spacer 2, and large subunit ribosomal RNA". The stretch from base 1 to 120 matches the Rfam family "5.8S ribosomal RNA", at positions 35 to 154 of the family's 154-position model. The record is from RNAcentral.
GAUGAAGAACGCAGCGAAAUGCGAUAAGUAAUGUGAAUUGCAGAAUUCAGUGAAUCAUCGAAUCUUUGAACGCACAUUGCGCCCGCCAGCAUUCUGGCGGGCAUGCCUGUCCGAGCGUCAUUUCAACCCUCAAGCCCCCGGGCUUGGUGUUGGGGAUCGGCGAGCCUCCGCGCCCGCCGUCCCCUAAAUCUAGUGGCGGUCUCGCUGUAGCUUCCUCUGCGUAGUAGCACACCUCGCACUGGGAAACAGCGCGGCCACGCCGUUAAACCCCCAACUUCUGAACGUUUGACCUCGGAUCAGGUAGGAAUACCCGCUGAACUUAAGCAUAUCAAUAAGCGGAGGA